UUAAGUUAAUAAGGGCGCACGGUGGAUGCCUUGGCACUAGAAGCCGAUGAAGGACGUGACUAACGACGAAAUGCUUUGGGGAGCUGUAAGUGAGCAAUGAUCCAGAGAUGUCCGAAUGGGGGAACCCGGCAGGUAAUGCCUGUCACUCAUUACUGUUAAGGUAAUGUAGAGGAAGACGCAGUGAACUGAAACAUCUAAGUAGCUGUAGGAAGAGAAAGCAAAAGCGAUUGCCUUAGUAGCGGCGAGCGAAACGGCAAGAGGGCAAACCGAAGAGUUUACUCUUCGGGGUUGUAGGACUGCAACGUGGACUUAAAGAUUAUAGAAGAACUACCUGGGAAGGUAGGCCAAAGAGAGUAAUAGCCUCGUAUUCGAAAUAGUCUUUAUACCUAGCAGUAUCCUGAGUACGGCGAGACACGAGAAAUCUCGUCGGAAUCUGGGAGGACCAUCUCCCAACCCUAAAUACUCUCUAGUGACCGAUAGUGAACCAGUACCGUGAGGGAAAGGUGAAAAGCACCCCGGGAGGGGAGUGAAAUAGAACCUGAAACCGUGUGCCUACAACAAGUUCGAGCCCGUUAAUGGGUGAGAGCGUGCCUUUUGUAGAAUGAACCGGCGAGUUACGAUAUGAUGCGAGGUUAAGUUGAAGAGACGGAGCCGUAGGGAAACCGAGUCUUAAUAGGGCGCAUUAGUAUCAUGUCGUAGACCCGAAACCAUGUGACCUACCCAUGAGCAGGUUGAAGGUGAGGUAAAACUCACUGGAGGACCGAACCAGGGCACGUUGAAAAGUGCUUGGAUGACUUGUGGGUAGCGGAGAAAUUCCAAACGAACUUGGAGAUAGCUGGUUCUCUCCGAAAUAGCUUUAGGGCUAGCGUCGAUGUUAAGUCUCUUGGAGGUAGAGCACUGUUUGGGUGAGGGGUCCAUCCCGGAUUACCAAUCUCAGAUAAACUCCGAAUGCCAAUGAGAUAUAAUCGGCAGUCAGACUGCGAGUGCUAAGAUCCGUAGUCGAAAGGGAAACAGCCCAGACCACCAGCUAAGGUCCCAAAAUAUAUGUUAAGUGGAAAAGGAUGUGGGGUUGCACAGACAACUAGGAUGUUAGCUUAGAAGCAGCUAUUCAUUCAAAGAGUGCGUAAUAGCUCACUAGUCGAGUGACCCUGCGCCGAAAAUGUACCGGGGCUAAAACAUAUUACCGAAGCUGUGGAUACCUUUAUAGGUAUGGUAGGAGAGCGUUCUAUGUGCGAAGAAGGUGUACCGUGAGGAGUGCUGGAGCGCAUAGAAGUGAGAAUGCCGGUAUGAGUAGCGAAAGACAGGUGAGAAUCCUGUCCACCGUAAGACUAAGGUUUCCAGGGGAAGGCUCGUCCGCCCUGGGUUAGUCGGGACCUAAGGAGAGACCGAAAGGUGUAUCCGAUGGACAACAGGUUGAUAUUCCUGUACUAGAGUAUAUAGUGAUGGAGGGACGCAGUAGGCUAACUAAACCAGACGAUUGGAAGUGUCUGGCCAAGCAGUGAGGUGUGAUAUGAGUCAAAUGCUUAUAUCUUUAACAUUGAGCUGUGAUGGGGAGCGAAGUUUAGUAGCGAAGUUAGUGAUGUCACACUGCCGAGAAAAGCUUCUAGCGUUAAUUAUACUCUACCCGUACCGCAAACCGACACAGGUAGUCGAGGCGAGUAGCCUCAGGUGAGCGAGAGAACUCUCGUUAAGGAACUCGGCAAAAUGGCCCCGUAACUUCGGGAGAAGGGGCGCUGACUGAUGGUCAGCCGCAGUGAAUAGGCCCAAGCAACUGUUUAUCAAAAACACAGCUCUCUGCUAAAUCGUAAGAUGAUGUAUAGGGGGUGACGCCUGCCCGGUGCUGGAAGGUUAAGAGGAGUGCUUAGCGUAAGCGAAGGCAUGAAUUGAAGCCCCAGUAAACGGCGGCCGUAACUAUAACGGUCCUAAGGUAGCGAAAUUCCUUGUCGGGUAAGUUCC
This 1956-nucleotide ribosomal RNA is filed under the name human gut metagenome. Its description in RNAcentral is "bacterial LSU rRNA". It matches the Rfam family "Bacterial large subunit ribosomal RNA", at positions 3 to 1984 of the family's 2925-position model. The record is from RNAcentral.